RNAcentral lists this ribosomal RNA (647 nucleotides) under uncultured Actinomycetes bacterium. RNAcentral's name for it is "bacterial SSU rRNA". It matches the Rfam family "Bacterial small subunit ribosomal RNA", at positions 232 to 885 of the family's 1533-position model. The record is from RNAcentral. Lineage: Bacteria; Bacillati; Actinomycetota; Actinomycetes.
CGCGGCCUAUCAGCUUGUUGGUGGGGUGAUGGCCUACCAAGGCGACGACGGGUAGCCGGCCUGAGAGGGCGACCGGCCACACUGGGACUGAGACACGGCCCAGACUCCUACGGGAGGCAGCAGUGGGGAAUAUUGCACAAUGGGCGCAAGCCUGAUGCAGCGACGCCGCGUGAGGGAUGACGGCCUUCGGGUUGUAAACCUCUUUCGCCAGGGACGAAGCCUUUUGGGGUGACGGUACCUGGAGAAGAAGCACCGGCUAACUACGUGCCAGCAGCCGCGGUAAUACGUAGGGUGCGAGCGUUGUCCGGAAUUAUUGGGCGUAAAGAGCUCGUAGGCGGUUUGUCGCGUCGGCCGUGGAAACUGGAGGCUUAACCUUCAGCGUGGGGUCGAUACGAGCAGACUUGAGUUCGGUAGGGGAGUCUGGAAUUCCUGGUGUAGCGGUGAAAUGCGCAGAUAUCAGGAGGAACACCGGCGGCGAAGGCGGGACUCUGGGCCGAUACUGACGCUGAGGAGCGAAAGCGUGGGGAGCGAACAGGAUUAGAUACCCUGGUAGUCCACGCUGUAAACGUUGGGCGCUAGGUGUGGGUGACAUUCCACGUUGUCCGUGCCGUGGCUAACGCAUUAAGCGCCCCGCCUGGGGAGUACGG